CGGAUUGUAGUCUGCAACCCGACUACAUGAAGCUGGAAUCGCUAGUAAUCGCAGGUCAGCAUACUGCGGUGAAUACGUUCCCGGGUCUUGUACACACCGCCCGUCACACCAUGGGAGCCGGAAAUGCCCGAAGCCAGUGACCCAACCUUAGGGAGGGAGCUGUCGAAGGUGGAGCCGGUAACUGGGGUGAAGUCGUAACAAGGUAGC
Molecule: ribosomal RNA, 207 nt
Filed under: uncultured bacterium
Lineage: Bacteria
Description: partial 16S ribosomal RNA
Rfam family: Bacterial small subunit ribosomal RNA
Source: RNAcentral